This is a transfer RNA of Ovis aries (sheep), 71 nucleotides long. It matches the Rfam family "tRNA". Rfam says of the family: Transfer RNA (tRNA) molecules are approximately 80 nucleotides in length. Their secondary structure includes four short double-helical elements and three loops (D, anti-codon, and T loops). Further hydrogen bonds mediate the characteristic L-shaped molecular structure. tRNAs have two regions of fundamental functional importance: the anti-codon, which is responsible for specific mRNA codon recognition, and the 3' end, to which the tRNAs corresponding amino acid is attached (by aminoacyl-tRNA synthetases). tRNAs cope with the degeneracy of the genetic code in two manners: having more than one tRNA (with a specific anti-codon) for a particular amino acid; and 'wobble' base-pairing, i.e. permitting non-standard base-pairing at the 3rd anti-codon position. The record is from Rfam. Lineage: Eukaryota; Metazoa; Chordata; Mammalia; Artiodactyla; Bovidae.
CCCUGGUGGCUCAGACGGUAAAGCGUCUGCCUGCAAUGCGGGAGACCCGGGUUUGAUACCUGGCUCAGGAA